Molecule: transfer RNA, 69 nt
Filed under: Marmota monax (woodchuck)
Lineage: Eukaryota; Metazoa; Chordata; Mammalia; Rodentia; Sciuridae
Description: tRNA.Ala
Source: RNAcentral
GGGUUGUAGCUCAGGGGUAGAGCACUCACCUAGCAAGGGUGAGGCACUGGGUUCAAUCCUCAACACUCA